This is a non-coding RNA of Macaca mulatta (Rhesus monkey), 357 nucleotides long. The record is from RefSeq and is a predicted model, not a curated record. NCBI's taxonomy places the organism in Eukaryota, Metazoa, Chordata, Mammalia, Primates, Cercopithecidae.
GGCCGGGGUCGCUGUGCUUCGCGGCGGCGCGGGUCCUCCCUUCCCCAGGAGAGAGAGAAAGAAAAAAGAAAAAUGGAGUCGCCACUGGCUUCGGCCGGUGUUGGGGGCAGGCGUACGAGACCCCGAGGCCGCGGGGACUUCCCCACCUGCUUCCAACUGACGUGAGGCGCGCCCAGCCCCAACCUAGCCCAGACUUCCUUGCAAAAAUGCCUGUUUCGGAUUCCUCACAGUACAGAUAAGAAGGAAGGCUUGAUCAGCACGUGGUGGAUCUGAAGAUUCAGAGGUGCCAUGGCUCAAAAGUAGACAUUUUGGUAAAUGUGAAGAAGUGAGAUUCAAUGAGGGUGGUAAGAAAUGAAA